CCUACGGGUGGCAGCAGUGAGGAAUAUUGGUCAAUGGACGAGAGUCUGAACCAGCCAAGUAGCGUGAAGGAUGACUGCCCUAUGGGUUGUAAACUUCUUUUAUAUGGGAAUAAAAUGUUCCACGUGUGGGAUUUUGUAUGUACCAUAUGAAUAAGGAUCGGCUAACUCCGUGCCAGCAGCCGCGGUAAUCCGGAGUAUCCGAGCGUUAUCCGGAUUUAUUGGGUUUAAAGGGAGCGUCGGUGGAUUGUUAAGUCAGUUGUGAAAGUUUGCGGCUCAACCGUAAAAUUGCAGUUGAAACUGGCAGUCUGGAGUACAGUAGAGGUGGGCGGAAUUCGUGGUGUAGCGGUGAAAUGCUUAGAUAUCACGAAGAACUCCGAUUGCGAAGGCAGCUCACUGGACUGCAACUGACACUGAGGCUCGAAAGUGUGGGUAUCAAACAGGAUUAGAUACCCGGGUAGUC
Molecule: ribosomal RNA, 460 nt
Filed under: uncultured bacterium
Lineage: Bacteria
Description: partial 16S ribosomal RNA
Rfam family: Bacterial small subunit ribosomal RNA
Source: RNAcentral